Molecule: long non-coding RNA, 5529 nt
Organism: Vespa crabro (European hornet)
Lineage: Eukaryota; Metazoa; Arthropoda; Insecta; Hymenoptera; Vespidae
Exons: 2
Source: RefSeq, a predicted model, not a curated record
CAAAACAGUCGUUGAACAUAUUAUAAUAAUUAAUGUAAUGUCGACAUAGCAUAUCGAAUGUUAAAAACUAAUGCACUUAUGCAUUUUUAAAAAUAUAUAAAGUAAAAGAAUAAAAAUCUAAAAAUUUUAAGAUCGUUUAUAUCGAAACUGCGUUGUUUAUGUCUCGCGUUACAUGAGAGUCACUAUCUGAAUUUUAAGAUCGCAUUAUAUUGAAACUGUGUUCACAUUAUAUUUGGGUUACCUGUGUUUCAAUUGUUAUCCUUAAUUUGUAGUUUUAUUAAAUAUUGCCCAAUAUGAGCAUAUAAGAUAAACAGGUUGUCACGCACUACAGUUAAGUGUUAAAAAAAAAAGAAAAAACAGAAAAGGAAAGGAAAAGGAGACAAACAAAAAUAAUCGAUUUUGGCCACGAUAGAUCUCUUUGCAGAUUUCCAUUAUAAAUCAGAUCAAAGUACACAUUAAAAGUAUAAAAAUUGUUUACGAUUGAUGAUUCGAUCUAAACGAUGCUUAUCGCGAUACGUCGCGUGAAUCUCAUCAAAGAUUGCGUCAUUUUAAAGAACAAAUUCCAAUGAGCAUCGGCGCUCAUUACUUUGCAAAUUGCAUAAUCGUGUACUUCACAAGAAGCAUGCGAAUCAAGUGCGAUCGAUACUCGAAUUUUGAAUUAAUUACUCGGACAAUGAAUUACAUCAUCUCACAUUAUGAGAGACACUUACCUUCAUUUCUAUAAUAAUAGCGGCAAGAAUAAUAAAUUUCUUUCAUCGAGAUAUCGAGUUAAAUAAAUAGCAAAUAUUCGAGAAAUUGUAUGCAAUAAUUGUUUUAUUAUAACACAUUGUCAAUUAACUAAAUAGUUUAUUCAAUACCUGAAAAUUUUGUGUUGUGUUAUGAUAUAAUAUAAUAUAUUAUAAACAAAAAAUUUUUUAAUUUAUAAUAUAAUAUAUUAUAAUAAGAAAGCGAAUAUAUUUGACAGAGAAUUCAUAAAAAAAUAAAUAAAAAUUAUUUGACAGAGAUUUAAUAUUAAUUAAUAUUAAUAUUAAUUAAAACGAAAAUAUCAGGAAACAAAUAAGGAGAUAUCAUGAGAUCACAAGAAAUGAAAUUAUCGAAUAAAUAUUGCCUGCUACGAUUCUUGUUUCUCAAUUGACACGUUUUUUUCUUUUCUAUAUCAGCAUACAUACAUCUUUUUCUGACGUUAUGAAUAAAGGUCAAACGAGAAAGAAAUGAUGCCAAUCAUAGAGUGGGCGAACUAACAAAUAUCAACGAAAGAGAAAUUGUCCCCUGUCUUCUUUCACGCUAGGUGAUGUUGAUGAGUAAUCUUGAUACGUGUCAAUUAUUUAAGAUUUUAUUUCAUAUUUAAUGACUAUAUAUCUUAAAAGGCAGAGGAUAGGCUUCGAAAUAUUUUUCCUCAUACUAUCAUAAUUAUCUGUUAUAAUGCCAAGAAUUAUCCGUAAUUGUUCCCACGAAAUAGAAUAAAUAAUACAGAAAAAGCGGUAGUCGUUAAUUGUUAAACCUUAAUUAUCGGAGAAUUCACGCUUUGCCGUAUCAGUGAUUAUACUUACUAAAUUAAGAAUAUUAUUUUUUCACAUGUAAACAUUCACAAGAAAAAAUUAUUCAUUGUCCAAUCAAAUACAUGUAUUAUCCUGCAUUCGAAUGGAUCGAUAAUAUGAGGAAAAACGCAAGAAAAAAGAGAGAGAAAGAAAAAAGAAAAAUACAUCGUCGUGAAGUUAAGUGUGGGGAAUUUAUUAAAUUCGAGUCAAUUAACUCGAACUGAACGGUCGUUCGCAGUUGUUGCUACUUCUUCGUGGUUGGUCAAUUCGCAUCGCGCGGUACCACCACUUGUCCACUACUCGCGAAUAGCCGAAGGACAUCGAGCUCCCUUCUCCUUCUGUUUGUCUGUCUGUCUCUCUUUUUCCCCUUUUCUUUCCUCUCUCUUCAUCCUAUCUCUUUUUCCUCAUCAUGUCCUUUCGUGAAACACAUGCAUUCUCUAUCCGCGUCAUUAGGUCAUUUACGGUGGAGGCUCGACCAAAGGCUCGACCAAUCAUAUCUCGAGGAAAAUCGAGACGGCGCCGAGUUAGUCCUUUACGUAUACUGUUAUCUACGAAUCUAUUUAUUUCUUAAUAUGUUUCAUAGUAGAUUACGUUAUGUUAUUUUACGAUAAUCAGUACACAUUUUAAAAACAAUAGUAUUCUUUUUGAUUUAUCACAAGUUUUUAUAAAUUCUACACCGACAUAUUUGUGUCCUUGAAACGAACGAUAGAAUCUCGUAAUAUACCUUAGGAAUAUAAUUUAACGAUGAAGGAUAGAAAUGAUCUUGUUGCACGCGACGAGUGACCUUUAACAAUCGACCCGAUCUAUAUCGUUCUUCCUCGUGUAUAUAUAUAUAUUUUUUUUUUCUCAAGCGAUACUUCAUGUUUUCAAACCGUGCAAGUUUUUACCUCUUUGCCUUUGAAUACGAUCUUUUUAUUUAAAGUUAAAAAAACGUUAGUCAUUUCAACAAUAUUGCGAUCAGUCAAAUAAACAUAUGACUGACCUAUUUACGUCAAACUUUGAUCAGUUAUUUUAUCGUUUUCAUGUAUGCAAUUUGUACAUGUAUACAUGCCUACCUAUGUAUAGGUGUGUUAUAUCUCAUACGAGUACUGCAACGACGUGAAAGAGACUCGAUGAAAGAGGCUCGGCUGGAGGCUCGACCAAUCGUAUCGUCGAAAGUUAAAAAUAGACAAUUCGUAGUUAUAUCGUGCUAACAGAAGUUUCGUCGAGUAUUCAACACGAUAUAUGUAAUCAACGUUUUUCGAUAGUUUUAAAAAAAAUAGUACAAAAAAUAGACGUACAUAUCUAUGCGAAUAUUUUAACAGAUGUAUAGAAAAAUUCAUUUUUAACUAAUUUGUGAAUUGUGAAUUGAAUUAAUUCGAACGUAGUCCAUACUAAUUUUAAAACAAAAACUAAUUUUAGAUUUCGUCUAUCUUUUCUAUGUAAACAUGUACACGUGUUAUCUCAAAUACACAUCUCACGUGUCUCACAUGAAUGUCUUUGAUGUUAAGUUCGAAUGACUGAUAUUGAUAUCGUACCAUUAUAAAUGUAAAUUUAAAGUUGAAAUAUAUACCAGUUCGAAAUUUUAAAUGCAUAUAAUCAAAAUCCUAAAGAAAUUGUAUAUUAUUUGACGGUAGAGACCAAAUAUUUUCUUAGAAAUUGUUGUAGAAGAGAUCCAUUAACGGGUUUAAUCUCACCUGAAUAAAAGUAUAAAUCUCGUGUCAACUUGAUCUCUCUCGUUCGGUCUGGACUCAUUCGUUUCCCAUGAUUCGAAUGUAACUGAAGAUCAUAGACGUGAUGGAUCGCGAUCGUUAAAUAUUUUUUGUUAACAUACUUGCUCCUCGUAUACAGUUAGAAGAGAUCGCCUAUCGUAGAAGAUCGAUUUUCUCUUAUAUAAAACAUAGAAGUUGCGGCCAUUAUCUCGCGAGCUUCAUACUUUUCUGAUUCAAGGUUAGUUAUACAAGCGGUAACCAGCAAUUUAAAAUUCGAUAAAAAUGACGGUGAGAAUCCGUGAAAGAAUUCUGCAAGAAAAUUGAUCCUAAGAUGAUCGUGUGAAAGAGAGAAUCUUGUUGGCUAUGUAAUCUAAGAGAGUAAUAGAGAGAUAGAAAGAGAGAGAGAGAGAGAGAGAGAGAGAGGAGAGAGAAGGAGGUGUGGGAGAAGGGGAAAGAAGACGAGGAAGAAACGUGAAUUCUACGAAUAGAAAGCGUGCCGAUCGAAAAUUACAUCUAAGAGAAUUCUGAACGGAGAAAAGCACGCUUUUGCGAGUACACUCAAGACGGCAAAAGAUACGAAUUAUUGGCCUCGAAGCCUUUCUAUAAACCAUACGGAGAAAGAGAACGUUAGUUGAAUGUGUACGUAACGAAAUGUUUGUGUAUGUGGUAGAAGAGACAUACGAAUUCACGCAAUAUGCGUAUAUACGUAUCGUUGAUCGAUUCUGAAUUUAUACUUUCUUGGAAUGAAAUGUAAAAUUGUUUCAAAUUUUAAUAGAGAUAUAAUAGCUACGGUUUCUAAAAGUUGACUUUAAUUGCAAGUUUUACAAAUUAGAAGAAAAGAUUUACUCUUUCGAAUAAAAUGUAAUUACUCAAAAAAAAAAUUUUACAGAUCUUAACGAAUUAAAUAAUUAAAUUCAAUUUUCUAAGGAAAAAGAAAAGUAAUUUCGAUUUCUAUCGAACGGUUAUUACCAGGACUUUCCCGCGUAAAUUACGAGACGAAAGUUAACUAGUCGAGCCCCUGUGAAUGGCGCCUUCUGAUUGGUCAUUGCGUACGGUUAAAACGUAAUCUAAGAACCAGUUCUUAUUGCGUCAGUCGCUAUUAUAACGAAUUUUUACAUACACAUAUAUCUAACGAGAAGCAUGUAAGAUGACUAAUUUGAUACUACUCAAUCCCAUUAUAUGAUCAUUAAAUAGCAAUUUGAUAUUAAAAUAUUUAUUAUAUUUAAUCCCGUAUCGAAGUUAUUAAAGUUUUUUCUUUCUUUUUUCUUUACAUAAAUUUUAUCUCAUAACUUUCGUCUCUUUAAGAAUGUAUGUGUUUCAUUUAAAGAAUUUACUUCUUAUAGUAUAUAUUCCUUAUCUUCUUAGUAUAUAUUUCUUCUCAACAAUAAACUUAUUAUCAAGUUAUCAGAUGCACGUGUCAUUCCUCGUGCCUUUCAUUCCAGCAACGAUUCGCGAUUUACGUCAUUUCGGCAUACGAACGUCAAGAAAUGAUAAUAGUAAAUGAUGAAGAGCCAAUAAAUAGAGUAAAGCGAGAGCACAUUCAAUUCUCUACUAAAGAUAGAGCAGAGGGCAGAAAGACAUUUUUUAAAAGAAAGGAUGAAAGGAUGACCGAACUUGCUAUAUAAAAGCAAUACCUACUGCUUUCGUCUCGGAAUGCGUUUAUAUUUAGUGAGUCAACGUGCUGGAAACGAAAGGAACGAAAGAGCAUUGUCGGAUUCAACCAAUGUAUUUUCAGCUGUCUAUAUUGUUCUAACAGGAUAUUCAACACAAUACAUCUGGUUUGAUAUUUUUUUCUUUGUUAAACGUAAGGAAAUUAAAAUCGAAAUGAAUAUUCGAAUGAAUUUUUGUUUUUUACUGAAAGGAAAAGCAUUUUUUCAAAUAGAAUUUAAGGUGAUAACAGAACGAAUUUUGGAGUACAUUAAACAGAGUCUAAAGUCUUCUUAUUGACUGAAUCAUAAAAAAAAGAAUGGAAAGAAUGUGGGCUUAAAAUCGACGUCAACGUUUCGAAGUUCACAAAUGUAAAUGAUUCUGAUUGUUUUACUAUAUCUAAAGAAAAGAGUGGGAGUGCAAAUGAAAAGACUAUCUAUCAUUGAAUCACUUUCUAUCUUUGGGAGAUCUUUAACAAGGAAUUAUUUCGUAGAUAAGAGAAAACAAGAAAGAGAGAGUGGAAAACGUACUUUAUUCACUGUUUAUCAUUUUUUAUGCUGACAUGAAAUAUUUAUGUAUAAAUCGUUCAUUUGUCAAAGUGAUUAACUACGCAAAAACAAAAAAUUAAAAAAAUUAAUAAAAUUAUAAAUGUA